Molecule: long non-coding RNA, 590 nt
Filed under: Musa acuminata (dwarf banana)
Lineage: Eukaryota; Viridiplantae; Streptophyta; Magnoliopsida; Zingiberales; Musaceae
Description: long non-coding RNA (MACU_LNC010658)
Source: RNAcentral
GCUUGUCUGGCCCUUCUAGUGCUUGCCUUUGUAGUGAAUUAAUUAAUACACAGACCUCUUGUUUAACACACUCAUCUUCUUUUCUUGCCUUAACCGAUCCAACUCAAGAAAUGUACGUUGUACUAAAUGCGAGUAAAGUUCCUUACGCUCAAAGUCAUAGAGAUAGAGGUUCUUCUUCAGCCCUAAGUCCUUCUUGUCUUUCUCCUUCUGUUCUUGUGUUGGCAACGAGAGAAUCAAAAGGAUCUGAAGCUGUAGGUCGAGUAGGGGCAAUUCGAUAUUCUGCUUCUGUGCUCUCGACUCGAAAGAUGAAAUGAAACAAGCAAUGCUUUAUAUACUAGUUAUCGCUAACGGAGAGGAGUUUAUAGCAAGGGAAGAUACUUGCAAGGUAUAGAAGAAAUAGAUACAAACCCGACCCCACUAACUUUGGAAAAACCCCUAUUACGUAAGCCGUGUAGCUUCUUUCCUCCCAUUGCUUGUGGGAUCUGGAUCAUCAGUGGAAGCAAGAGAAGAUGCUUGAUCAAGUAUCAUAAGCGGAAUCAGAAUAAAGAUCAUCAGCAGUGUUGUAUCAAGGAAAGCACUCUAACUCAACU